Molecule: ribosomal RNA, 468 nt
Filed under: uncultured bacterium
Lineage: Bacteria
Description: partial 16S ribosomal RNA
Rfam family: Bacterial small subunit ribosomal RNA
Source: RNAcentral
GAUGAACGCUGGCGGCGUGCUUAACACAUGCAAGUCGAGCGAACAGACCCUGCUUUUGUGGGGUGCUCGUGUGGCGCACGCGGGAGUGAAACGCGUGUAAACUGCACUUAUCUUUGUGAUAUAAUCAGGGAAAAGCGGCUAUUAUACGGUAGGAGAUCUUGAUCCAUGGUGUGGGUUGGUAAGUUACGGCGGUGUGGGAUGGACUGGCGGGUUAUCCGCUUGCUGGUGUGGUAGUUGCGUACCAAGGUUGUGAAGGGUAGCCGGCAUUGGAGGGUUAACGGCGACAUUGGGACUGAGGUAGGGCCCAGACGGCUACGGGAGGCAGCAGUGGGGAAUAUUGCACAAUGGGCGGAAGCCUGAUGCAGCAACGCCGCGUGCGUGAUGACGGCUUACGGGUUAUAAACCGCUUUCGCCGGUGACGAAGCGGGAUUGACGGUAAUUGGUCAAGAAGCACCGGCUAACUACGUG